Small nuclear RNA from Ictidomys tridecemlineatus (thirteen-lined ground squirrel), 105 nucleotides. The record is from Ensembl. Lineage: Eukaryota; Metazoa; Chordata; Mammalia; Rodentia; Sciuridae.
GUGCUCCCUUCAGCAGCACAUACGCUAAAAUCGAAAUGAUACAGAGAAGAUUAUCAUGGCCCCUGUACAAAAAUGACACAAAUUCAUGAAACAGCCCACAUUUAA